This 78-nucleotide microRNA precursor is filed under the name Schistosoma mansoni. RNAcentral describes it as "mir-3492 microRNA precursor family". It matches the Rfam family "mir-3492 microRNA precursor family". Lineage: Eukaryota; Metazoa; Platyhelminthes; Trematoda; Strigeidida; Schistosomatidae. The record is from Rfam by way of RNAcentral.
AGCUUUCCGCAUCCAUACAGAGAUUUCGCCAGACGCCAGCCCAUUAGGGCUGAUCAGACUUCCAAGAUAAGUGAAGUU